CGGGUAGCGGAACACGUACACAACCUUCCUUUUAGUGGGGAUAGCCCAGAGAAAUUUGGAUUAAUACCCCGUAAGAUUAUUAAGUGGCAUCAUUUGAUAAUUAAAGCUCCGGCGCUAGAAGAUGGGUGUGCGUCUGAUUAGGUAGUUGGUGCGGGUAACGGCCCACCAAGCCAGCGAUCAGUAACUGGUGUGAGAGCACGACCAGUCACACGGGCACUGAGACACGGGCCCG
Molecule: ribosomal RNA, 232 nt
Filed under: uncultured bacterium
Lineage: Bacteria
Description: partial 16S ribosomal RNA
Rfam family: Bacterial small subunit ribosomal RNA
Source: RNAcentral